CGGCGUUGUCCCUCGUCCCCAGGGUGGCAUCGGUGUCCCUCGUCCCCGUGGCAGCGUUGUCCCCGGUCCCCGCGGUCCCCACGGCCUUGACCCUCGUCCCCAGGGUGGCAUCGGUGUCCUGCGGUCCCCAUGGCGACGUUGUCCCUCAUCCCCGUGGUCCCCAUGGCCUUGUCCCUCGUCCCUAGGGUGGCAUCGGUGUCCUGUGGUCCCAAUGGCGGCGUUGUCCCUCGUCCCUAUGAUGGCGUUCCUCGUCCCUGCGGUCCCCACGGCCUUGUCCCUCGUCCCCACAGUGGCAUCGGUGUCCUGCGGUCCCCAUGGCGGCGUUGUCCCUCAUCCCUGCGGUCCCCACGGCCUUGUUCUUCGUCCCCACAGUGACAUCGGUGUCCUGUGGUCCCCAUGGUGGCGUUGUCCCUCAUCCCUGUGGUCCCCAUGGCCUUGUCCCUCGUCCCCGCGGUCCCUGCGGUGUUGUCCCUUGUCCCCACGGUGGCAUCGGUGUCCCUUGUCCUCAUGGUGGUGUUGUCCCUCGUCCCCGCAGUCCCCGUGGCGGUGUUGUCUCCGGUCCCUCGUCCCCACGGUGGCAUCGGUGUCCUGCGGUCCCCGUGGCGGCGUUGUCCCUCGUCCCCGCAGUCCCCAUGGUGGCAUUGGUGUCCUGCGGUCCCCGUGGUGGCGUUGUCCCUCGUCCCCGCGGUCCCCACGGUGGCAUUGGUGUCCCUUGUCCCCACGGUGGCAUCGGUGUCCUGCGGUCCCCGUGGCGGCGGCGUUAUCCCCGGUCCCCGCGGCGGCGGCACCGUUGUCCCCGGUCGCCGCGGUGGCUGACGCGGGGCUCGGGGACGCCGCCGGUGCCGGUGCCGGUGACGACGGCAGGCUGCUGGUGGGGGGCACGCGGCUGCGCGACCCCCC
This 900-nucleotide long non-coding RNA is filed under the name Apteryx owenii (little spotted kiwi). Its description in RNAcentral is "lncRNA (ENSAOWG00000001832.1)". Lineage: Eukaryota; Metazoa; Chordata; Aves; Apterygiformes; Apterygidae. The record is from RNAcentral.